This 941-nucleotide ribosomal RNA is filed under the name Leuconostoc citreum. RNAcentral's name for it is "bacterial SSU rRNA". It matches the Rfam family "Bacterial small subunit ribosomal RNA", at positions 225 to 1186 of the family's 1533-position model. The record is from RNAcentral. Lineage: Bacteria; Bacillati; Bacillota; Bacilli; Lactobacillales; Lactobacillaceae.
AUGGAGCCCCGGUGGUUCAUUUAGUUGGGGGGGGAAAGGCUUACCAACACGAAGAUGCAUGCCCGAGUUGAGAGACUGACCGAUCACCCUGCGACUGAGAGACGGCCCAACCUCCUACCGGAGGCUGCACGCGGGAAUCUUCCUCUAUGGGCGCAAGCCUGCUGGAUCAACGCCGCGUGUGUGAUGAUGGCUUUCCGGUCUUAAAGCACUGUUGUAUGGGAAGAAAUGCUCCAAUAGGGAAUGAUUUUAAUUUUAUUUUACCGUACCUAACAGGGACGGCUAAAUACGUGCCACUUGCCGCGGUAAUACGUAUGUCCCGAGCGUUAUCCGGAUUUAUUGAUCGAAAAGCGAGCGCAGACGGCUGAUUCAGUCUGAUGUGAAAUCCCGGAGCUCAACUCCGGAAUGCCAUUGGAAACUGGUUAACUUGAGUGUUGUAUAGGUAAGUGGAACUCCAUGUGUAGCGGUGGAAUGCGUAGAUAUAUGGAAGAACACCAGUGGCAAAGGCGGCUUACUGGACAACAACUGACGUUGAUGCUCGAAAGUGUGGAUAGCAAACAAGAUUAGAUACCCUGGUAGUACACACCGUAAACGAUGAAUACUAGGUGUACGAGGUUUCCGCCUCUUAGUGCCGAGUCUAACGCAUUAAGUAUUCCGCCUGUAGAGUACGACCGCUAGGUCGAAACUCAAGGAUUGACGGGGACCACACCAGCGGUGGAUCAUGUGGUUAAUUCGAAGCACGCGAAUACCUUACAGGUCUUGACAUCCUUUGAAGCUUUUAGAGAUAUAAGUGUCUCUUCGAGACAAGUGACAGUGUGCUUGUCGUCGUCACUUCUGUCUGAGAUGUGGUUAACUCCGCACAACCCAACCCUUAUUGUUAGUUGCAGCAUUCAGUUGGGCUUCUACCAGACUGCCGUUGAAAACCGGAGAAGGGGGACGACGUC